GUGUGCAGCCAUGCCAUCCUGAACAAGCUCAAUCCCGUCUGAUCUCAGAAGCUAAGCAGGGUUGGGCCUGGUUAGUACUUGGAGGGGAGACCACCUAGAAAGACCAGGUGCUAUGGGCA
Molecule: ribosomal RNA, 119 nt
Filed under: Pteropus vampyrus (large flying fox)
Lineage: Eukaryota; Metazoa; Chordata; Mammalia; Chiroptera; Pteropodidae
Source: RNAcentral